CCUACGGGAGGCUGCAGUGAGGAAUAUUGGUCAAUGGACGGAAGUCUGAACCAGCCAUGCCGCGUGCAGGAAGACGGCUCUAUGGGUUGUAAACUGCUUUUGUACAAGGGUAAACCUGAAUACGUGUAUUCAGCUGAAAGUACUGUACGAAUAAGGAUCGGCUAACUCCGUGCCAGCAGCCGCGGUAAUACGGAGGAUCCAAGCGUUCUCCGGAUUUAUUGGGUUUAAAGGGUGCGUAGGCGGAUUGAUAAGUUAGAGGUGAAAUGUCCGAGCUUAACUCGGGAACUGCCUCUAAUACUGGCGAUCUAGAGAGUAGAUGCGGUAGGCGGAAUGUAUGGUGUAGCGGUGAAAUGCUUAGAGAUCAUACAGAACACCGAUUGCGAAGGCAGCUUACCAAUCUAUAUCUGACGUUGAGGCACGAAAGCGUGGGGAGCAAACAGGAUUAGAUACCCGUGUAGUC
This 460-nucleotide ribosomal RNA is filed under the name uncultured bacterium. RNAcentral's name for it is "partial 16S ribosomal RNA". It matches the Rfam family "Bacterial small subunit ribosomal RNA", at positions 338 to 795 of the family's 1533-position model. The record is from RNAcentral.